This 492-nucleotide ribosomal RNA is filed under the name uncultured bacterium. RNAcentral describes it as "partial 16S ribosomal RNA". It matches the Rfam family "Bacterial small subunit ribosomal RNA", at positions 29 to 507 of the family's 1533-position model. The record is from RNAcentral.
AGUGAACGCUGGCGGUAGGCCUAACACAUGCAAGUCGAACGGCAGCACAGUAAGAGCUUGCUCUUACGGGUGGCGAGUGGCGGACGGGUGAGGAAUACAUCGGAAUCUACUUUUUCGUGGGGGAUAACGUAGGGAAACUUACGCUAAUACCGCAUACGACCUACGGGUGAAAGCAGGGGGUCUUCGGACCUUGCGCGAUUGAAUGAGCCGAUGUCGGAUUAGCUAGUUGGCGGGGUAAAGGCCCACCAAGGCGACGAUCCGCAGCUGGUCUGAGAGGAUGAUCAGCCACACUGGAACUGAGACACGGUCCAGACUCCUACGGGAGGCAGCAGUGGGGAAUAUUGGACAAUGGGCGCAAGCCUGAUCCAGCCAUACCGCGUGGGUGAAGAAGGCCUUCGGGUUGUAAAGCCCUUUUGUUGGGAAAGAAAAGCAGCAGGUUAAUACCCCGCUGUUCUGACGGUACCCAAAGAAUAAGCACCGGCUAACUUCGUG